RNAcentral lists this unclassified non-coding RNA (251 nucleotides) under uncultured fungus. Its description in RNAcentral is "partial contains 5.8S ribosomal RNA, internal transcribed spacer 2, and large subunit ribosomal RNA". Lineage: Eukaryota; Fungi. The record is from RNAcentral.
AACGCACAUUGCGCCCCUUGGUAUUCCAUUAGGGCAUGCCUGUUCGAGCGUCAUUUGUACCCUUCAAGCUCUGCUUGGUGUUGGGCUGUCUGUCUCGCCUUCUGCGCUGUAGACUCGCCUCAAAACAAUUGGCAGCCACUUCAGCGGCUUUGAGCGCAGCAGAAUUGCGCCUCUCGUCGCGGCGGGUGGCAUCCAGUAAGCAACAUUUAUAUCUUGACCUCGGAUCAGGUAGGGAUACCCGCUGAACUUAA